RNAcentral lists this ribosomal RNA (451 nucleotides) under uncultured bacterium. Its description in RNAcentral is "bacterial SSU rRNA". It matches the Rfam family "Bacterial small subunit ribosomal RNA", at positions 367 to 815 of the family's 1533-position model. The record is from RNAcentral.
GUCAAUGGGCGGAAGCCUGAACCAGCCAAGUCGCGUGAGGGAAGACGGUCCUAUGGAUUGUAAACCUCUUUUGCAGGGGAGCAAGGCGCGGUACGUGUACCGCGAAGGAGAGUACCCUGAGAAAAAGCAUCGGCUAACUCCGUGCCAGCAGCCGCGGUAAUACGGAGGAUGCGAGCGUUAUCCGGAUUUAUUGGGUUUAAAGGGUGCGCAGGCGGACUGUUAAGUCAGCGGUAAAAUGUCGGUGCUCAACACCGGCCGGCCGUUGAAACUGGCAGCCUUGAGUGAGCGAGAAGUAUGCGGAAUGCGUGGUGUAGCGGUGAAAUGCAUAGAUAUCACGCAGAACUCCGAUUGCGAAGGCAGCAUACCGGCGCUCAACUGACGCUCAGGCACGAAAGCGUGGGUAUCGAACAGGCUUAGAUACCCUGGUAGUCCACGCAGUAAACGAUGAAUG